ACUUGACCACUGAGCCACAUCCUCAGCCCUUUUUUAUAUUUUAUUUGGAGACAGGGUCUUACUGAGUUGCUUAGCACCUUGCUUUUUGCUAAGGCUGGCUUUGAACUCAUGAUCCUCCUGCCUCAGCUUCCUGAGCUGCUGGGAUUAUAGGCGUGCUCCACCAUGCCCAGCUUCCAGGUGUUUUUUUUUUGUUUGUUUGUUUGCUUGUUUUUUGUAGUUUUAGGUGGACAGAAUGCCUUCAUUUUAUUUGUUUAUAUUAUUAUUUUUUUUAGUUGUAGAUGGAUAUAAUACCUUUAUUUGUUUUUAUUUUUAUGUGGUGCUUUGGAUCCAACCCAAUGCCUCAUGCAUGCUAGGCAAGUGCUCUGCCACUGAGCUAUAGCCCCAGCCCUCCAGGUGUCUUUUGUUAUUGACUACGAAUAUUAAAUUUCAUUGUGGUCAGAGAAUAUAUUUUGUAUGAUUGAGUCCUUUUAAAUUUAUUCAGCCUUUAAAAAAUAUUUUUAGUUAUAAUGAAUAGGCAUUAUAUUUUUGUAUAGGCCUUUAUUUAUGUAUUUUUAUGUGGUGCUGAGAAUCGAACCCAGUGCCUCACAUGUGCUAGGCAAGUGCUCUACACUGAGCCCCUAUUCAGACUUGUUUUAUGGCCCAGAAUAUAGUCUAUCUUGAUAAAUGUCCUAUAUGCAGCAUAAUUAUUCAGAGAGAAAGAUGAUGAUCGCAUAUAUAAAAUUCUAGAAAAUGCAUACUAGUCUAAGGUGGCCGCAGAUCACUGGUUUCCUGAACUUCACUGUCUCUAAAAUACAAAAUAGAGCUGGGGAUGUGGUUCAGAGGUUGAGUGCCCCUGGGUUCAAUCCCCAGUACCAAAAAAAAAAAAAAAUUUAAAAAGACACCUGAAAAACCUCCAAAUAUUUGUAAACUACAUAACACAUUUAUAAAUAACUCUGAGUCAAAGUAGAAAUCAAAAGGGAAAUCAGUAUUUUGAACUGAAUGAUGAUGAAAAUACAAUGCAUAAAAAUUUGUGGGGGGGGGGCUGGGGUUGUGGCUCAGUGGUAGCUCAGUGGUAGCUUGCUCAACUAGCAUGUAUGAGGCACUGGGUUCGAUCCUCCUCAGCACCACAUACAUGUAAAAUAAAGAUAUUGUUUCCACCUAAAACUAAGAAAUAAAAUAAAUAUUAAAAAAAAUUUUGUGUGAGGGGGCUGGGGUUGUGGCUCAGUGGUAGAGCACUCACCUAGCAUGUGUGAAGCCCUGGGUUCAAUCCUCAGCACCACAUAAAGAUAAAUAUAUUGUGUUCAUCUACAAUUAAAAUAUAUAUUUUUAAAAAAUUUGUGUGAGGGCUGGGGAUGUGGCUCAAGCGGUAGCGUGCUCGCCUGGCAUGCACGGGGCACUGGGUUCAAUCCUCAGCACCACAUAAAAAUAAAAUAAAGAUGUUGUGUCCACCGAAAACUAAAAAAUAAAUAUUAAAAAAUUCUCUCUCUCUCUCUCUCUCUCUCUCUCUCUCUCUCUCUCUCUCUCUCUCUUUAAAAAAAAAUUGUGUGAAUCAGAACUGGAUGUCUGUCCUGUUCAGGGUGACCCCAGAGUUGAGGACUUACCUCCCCUGAGCCUUGAUGUUGUCAUCUGUACAAUGGACUAAAGCCACCUAUUUCAGUAGCAGCUGAGAGCUGCUACUCUACCUGGCCACCCUGGGGGUAGGUGAGGGCAGGUUCCAGCAGGGUUUGUUUACUUUAGCAAACAUAUACAACAGUUACUAGCAGUUACUGUGUGCCAGGCCCUGGUCUGGGCCACUUGCCAAAACAGAAGUAGUUCAUUAAGACUCAUAAACACUCUGUAAGGAAGACAUUCCCAUGCUUUUAUAGAUCCUGAACUGGAGGUACAGAGGGGGUAAGUGCCUUGCCCCAAGUCACACAGGUAGACACGCAAUGGCUGAGCCAGGACUUGAAUGCAGGCUACCAGGAUAGAGUCUGUCCCUUGUGUCCCAGCUUAAUGGAGGGACACUGAAAGGUUUCAAAUGGAGGAGGAGAAUGGUGAGAUUCCUGUACAGUAAAAUCACUGGGGAUGGGAGGGGAACAGACACAGACACUAACAGGACUGGGAGUCCUGUAGAGCUAGUACUUGCCUAGGGAGGGAGAAGCCUGAGUUCAAUCCCCAGCAAUGAAUGGUGCCUUGGGACACACCAAAUAUUUAGGAAGCUGAAGCUACAGAAUGUGGUCGUGUAUUAGAAAUACACUAUUCCUGGAGGAGGUGGCUAAACAGAAAAGUAUGUGCAGGGAUCCAGGCUGGAGGGUUCAAGGAACAGAUGACCUGAUGAGCCAUCUGAGGACAGGGUACACAGCAUGCUGAGAAUCCCUUUUAAAAGUGUUCUGACCUGGUAAGAAGGAGAAAGUGUCCCUAAGGGAACAUGUGAGCAGAAGGUACACUAGAAAUUAAUUAAAUGAGGAACAGCCUGUGCACUGCCCUGUGGGGGUACAUCAUGGAGAGAGGGACAGCUUAGACCUGGAGGGGAUACAGGGUGACCUGAGGGCACACAGGUGGCAGCAGACAUCAAUCUGCAGAGCUGUGAAAGCCCCACAAUGGAGCUCUUCUCCUGGGAAUGAUGGGAAAUCACUGAGAGUGUGCAGGGAGGAAUGACGGGGUCAGAGCUGUGUGUUUUUUCAGUGGUGCUGGUGAGGAGACCCAGGUAGGCAAGCACUCUACCAGGAGCCACCCUGGACUGAGGUGUGUUCUUGAAGUUCACCCUUUUAUGGGUUGGGACAGAACAGACCUGAUGCUGCAAGCAGUUAGGAGGUCUUGCAUGUGAGUGAUGGCUGUGUGAGUGAGGGAGGCACAUGGAAAAAGUUGGGGGAUGAAGAUGGAGAGCAGAGGAUAAUUCAAGGUGUACUUAGGCACUAAUUUUGAAAAAUAUAAAAUUAGCUAGGCGCAGUGUUGCACAUCUAUAAUCUCAGCACUCGGAGGCUGAGACUGGAGGAUCGUGGAUUCAAAGCCAGCCUCAGCAAAAGCGAGAUGCUAAGCAACUCAGUGGUUAACUGCCCCUGGGUUCAGCCCCUGGUACCCCCCUCCAAAAAAAAAAAACCAACAACCUAUAAUAGAAGGAAGAUCAGUAGAGGAAGAGGAAUAGGGGGAGGCAGGAGGGGAGAGAAAGAGAAAGUACUGGGAACUGAAGUGGAGCAAACUAUAAUCCAUGCAUGUAUGAUUAUGUCAAAAUGAAACCAACAGGGCUGGGGAUGUGGCUCAAGUGGUAUCGUGCUCGCCUGGCAUGCAUGCAGCCAGGGGUCGAUCCUCAGCACCACAUACAAAGAUGUUGUGUC
This 3293-nucleotide long non-coding RNA is filed under the name Marmota monax (woodchuck). The stretch from base 1190 to 1258 matches the Rfam family "tRNA". The record is from RNAcentral. Lineage: Eukaryota; Metazoa; Chordata; Mammalia; Rodentia; Sciuridae.